This 591-nucleotide small RNA is filed under the name Histoplasma capsulatum. RNAcentral's name for it is "hypothetical RNA". Lineage: Eukaryota; Fungi; Ascomycota; Eurotiomycetes; Onygenales; Ajellomycetaceae. RNAcentral also lists the same sequence under 1 other name. The record is from RNAcentral.
UCGAUGUUGAUGGGUCCGUCCAGCAAAAAUAAUACACACUAUUUGCAAGAGGAUGAGCCCUAAAUCUUCCAACAAACCGGAUUCUGCACGGCAUGGCAGGGAUUAAAACAACCAGAUUACGCACUCCAGGUGUGUCCCAGCUCCAUUUCCAGCUUCUGGCAGGGGCCAUAUAAACAAACAGACAAACUCCUGGAGCGGUCUAUCUUUUCUACUUAAUUUUAUCUCUGUUCCCAGGAUCAAUCGUCGAGCAAUGGCAGUUAUUUCAUACUCAGCAUCAGCAAAAAUCAGGUUCGAAAGGAGGGGCCCAGGAUUCGACGCAAAUUUCUUCCUUCGGCAACUUCCACUGGAGGUACGAAUCUUGCACCAAGACAAUACAGGAAUAAGUUGUCCGCACUAACGCCUCCUGUGGCUGAUGAUAUGGAUGAGGAGCACAAUGACGCUUCGACACGGGCACAAACAGCUGUCAAAGUGCGUUUGUGUUGAAGCACCUUCUCCAGCGACUUCUGCAGUGAUUCUCGAUCGUGGGCAUUGUGGCAAGCAAGCUUAGUUCGGAUGGCCAUGCAGCAGAGUUGCAGGAGUUAGUUAUGCGGC